CAGUAGCCGCGGGAAUACGUAGGGUCCGAGCGUUGUCCGGAAUUAUUGGGCGUAAAGGGCUCGUAGGCGGUUUGUUGCGUCGGGAGUGAAAACCCAGGGCUUAACUUUGGGCUUGCUUUCGAUACGAGCAGACUUGAGGCAUUGAGGGGAGAACGGAAUUCCUGGUGUAGCGGUGAAAUGCGCAGAUAUCAGGAGGAACACCGGUGGCGAAGGCGGUUCUCUGGCAAUGUUCUGACGCUGAGGAGCGAAAGUGUGGGGAGCGAACAGGAUUAGAUACCCCCGUAGUCCCUGUCUCUUAUAC
RNAcentral lists this ribosomal RNA (301 nucleotides) under uncultured bacterium. RNAcentral describes it as "partial 16S ribosomal RNA". It matches the Rfam family "Bacterial small subunit ribosomal RNA", at positions 509 to 807 of the family's 1533-position model. The record is from RNAcentral.